UGCGUAGGCGGUUUGGUAAGUCAGAUGUGAAAUUCCUGGGCUCAACCGAGGAACUGCAUUUGAUACUGCCAGACUAGAGUACUGGAGAGGAGACUGGAAUUUACGGUGUAGCAGUGAAAUGCGUAGAUAUCGUAAGGAAGGCCAGUGGCGAAGGCGAGUCUCUGGACAGUAACUGACGCUGAGGCACGAAGGCGUAGGGGAGCAAACG
RNAcentral lists this ribosomal RNA (208 nucleotides) under uncultured bacterium. RNAcentral describes it as "partial 16S ribosomal RNA". It matches the Rfam family "Bacterial small subunit ribosomal RNA", at positions 568 to 774 of the family's 1533-position model. The record is from RNAcentral.